Long non-coding RNA from Labrus mixtus (cuckoo wrasse), 818 nucleotides. RefSeq lists it as uncharacterized. NCBI's taxonomy places the organism in Eukaryota, Metazoa, Chordata, Actinopteri, Labriformes, Labridae. The transcript is spliced from 3 exons. The record is from RefSeq and is a predicted model, not a curated record.
UGCAGCCAUAGAAUUGAGGGAUACAACAACUGAUAGCAGUUCAAGGUACUCCACACAGACCCUGCUCUCUUUGUCCUCCUCCACCUCUCCUCCUUCUUCCUCCUCUACUCCUGAAACCUCCGAAAGUGAGGAGAAACCAGUCCUGUUUGUCGGCAGGGCACAAGGCUCCUCUGGGGGAAAGGCUAUUCUCAUCAUCACAACUUGUGCCCUUUUCCUGAUUGCAGUAAUCAUCCUGGCAUACUUAAAACUGCGGAACAGUCACACUGACGUGAAGCAGCAGCCGGAAGAAUACAUUGAGACCGAGGAGUGCACGAGUGUGAAGGUUAUAAAGGAAACACAGACAGCUGCUCAGGAAGAUGAGAGGAUAGAAGUGGACGACGAUACAAGUUAAACAUUCUUCCAAUAUGAGGUUCUACAGAUACAAUCUACAGAGAAGUUGUGAUUAGUAUUCAUUUUAAGAAAGAAGGUGUGCCUUUUGUUGUGUCUUGAAAGCAAUGUAACAUAAGGGUGGUAAAGUACAUUUAUUUUUGUAUAUUACAUGUUUUUUUUUAAAUAAUAUUUUCAGUUACAUGAUGCAAUUUGGCCACUAGAUGGCAGUGUUGGCGAUACAAUCUUUGUAAGGACGGAAUACUUUUUUACUGACACCAUUUGCUGCUUUGUUUAGUGUAAAUACAAUGGGGUUUUUUUCAAUUUAAAAUACUUUUGUAAAAGGCACGUUUCAUCACGAACAUAGAAUUCUCCCAGAUCACUAAAGAAAUGGACGUAUGUAGCCAUAACUCACUAAAACCUCAUUAAAACAAGCUAUUUUAUGGAGAAAC